GACGCUUCGGUUGAUUCAGCGAGUGGAAAGCGGCGGACGGGUGAGUAACGCGUAGGCAACCUGCCCUUCACACAGGGAUAGCCUCGGGAAACCGGGAUUAAUACCUGAUAACACAUUGAGAUUGCAUAUUCUUAAUGCCAAAGAUUUAUCGGUGAGGGAUGGGCCUGCGUCUGAUUAGCUAGUUGGUGGGGUAACGGCCCACCAAGGCGACGAUCAGUAGCCGACCUGAGAGGGUGAUCGGCCACAUUGGAACUGAGACACGGUCCAGACUCCUGCGGGAGGCAGCAGUGGGGAAUAUUGCACAAUGGGCGCAAGCCUGAUGCAGCAACGCCGCGUGAAGGAUGAAGGCCAUUCGGUCGUAAACUUCUGUCCUUGGGGAAGAAACAAAUGACGGUACCCUUGGAGGAAGCCCCGGCUAACUACGUGCCAGCAGCCGCGGUAAUACGUAGGGGGCAAGCGUUAUCCGGAAUCAUUGGGCGUAAAGCGUGCGUAGGCGGUUUUUUAAGCGCAGGGUUUAAGGCUACAGCUUAACUGUAGUUCGCCUUGCGUACUGACUGACUAGAGUGCAGGAGGGGCGAGCAGAAUUCCUAGUGUAGCGGCGAAAUGCGUAGAUAUUAGGAGGAACACCGGUGGCGAAGGGGGCCCGCCGGUCUGUAACUGACGUUGAGGCUCGAAAGCGUGGGGCGCACACAGGAUUAGAUACCCUGGUAGUCCACCCCGUAAAUGAUGAAUAUUAGGUGUCGGGGAUUAAGGAUCUUUGGUGCCGCAGCUAACGCAAUAAGUAUUCCUCCUGGGGAGUGCGUUCGCAAGAAUGAAACUCAAAGGAAUUGACGGGGACCCGCCCAAGCGGGGAGCAUGUGUUUUAAUUCGAAGCAACGCGAAGAACCUUACCAAGUCUGACAUCCCUCUGAAUAACGGGUAAUACACGUA
Molecule: ribosomal RNA, 930 nt
Filed under: uncultured bacterium
Lineage: Bacteria
Description: bacterial SSU rRNA
Rfam family: Bacterial small subunit ribosomal RNA
Source: RNAcentral